RNAcentral lists this ribosomal RNA (436 nucleotides) under uncultured Oscillibacter sp. RNAcentral describes it as "partial 16S ribosomal RNA". It matches the Rfam family "Bacterial small subunit ribosomal RNA", at positions 341 to 792 of the family's 1533-position model. Lineage: Bacteria; Bacillati; Bacillota; Clostridia; Eubacteriales; Oscillospiraceae. The record is from RNAcentral.
ACGGGAGGCAGCAGUGGGGAAUAUUGGGCAAUGGACGCAAGUCUGACCCAGCAACGCCGCGUGAAGGAAGAAGGCUUUCGGGUUGUAAACUUCUUUUACCAGGGACGAAGACGUGACGGUACCUGGAGAAAAAGCCACGGCUAACUACGUGCCAGCAGCCGCGGUAAUACGUAGGUGGCAAGCGUUGUCCGGAUUUACUGGGCGUAAAGGGCGUGUAGGCGGAGCGGCAAGUCAGAUGUGAAAUCUUCGGGCUCAACCCGGAAACUGCAUUUGAAACUGUCGCCCUUGAGUAUCGGAGAGGCAGGCGGAAUUCCUAGUGUAGCGGUGAAAUGCGUAGAUAUUAGGAGGAACACCAGUGGCGAAGGCGGCCUGCUGGACGACAACUGACGCUGAGGCGCGAAAGCGUGGGGAGCAAACAGGAUUAGAUACCCUGGUA